RNAcentral lists this ribosomal RNA (323 nucleotides) under uncultured bacterium. RNAcentral's name for it is "bacterial SSU rRNA". It matches the Rfam family "Bacterial small subunit ribosomal RNA", at positions 477 to 793 of the family's 1533-position model. The record is from RNAcentral.
AGCUGCAGAAGAAGCACCGGCUAACUCCGUGCCAGCAGCCGCGGUAAGUACGGAGGGUGCGUAGCGUUAAUUCGGAAGUUACUAGGGCGUAAAGCGCAUGCAGGUGGUUUGUUAAGUCAGAUGUGAAAGCCCGGGGCUCAACCUCGGAAUUGCAAUUUGAAACUGGCAAACUAGAGUACUGGUAGAGGGGGUAGAAUUUCAGGUGUAGCGGUGAAAUGCGUAGAGAUCUGAAGGAAUACCGGUGGCGAAGGCGGCCCCCUGGACAGAUACUGACACUCAGAUGCGAAAGCGUGGGGAGCAAACAGGAUUAGAUACCCUGGUAG